This 665-nucleotide long non-coding RNA is filed under the name Homo sapiens (human). RNAcentral's name for it is "HSALNT0373261". Lineage: Eukaryota; Metazoa; Chordata; Mammalia; Primates; Hominidae. The record is from RNAcentral.
GGGGACUGUAACACAUCCUUUUGGGGGGACACAAUACAACCAAUAACAGUCUGUGCUCUGCCUUCCCCAAAUUCACGUCUUUCACAUGAGGAACAUAGACUCACUCAGUCCCAACAUCCCCAAAGUCUUAACUAUUCCAGCAACAACUCCAAGUCCAAAAUCACAUCUAAAUAACAUCAAUUCACAGUCCCAACUCUCAUGAUAUAAAUCAUUUAAAUCAGUUGUGGAUGAAAUUUGUGAUAUGAUCCACCCUGGAGCAAAAUUGCUCUCCAUCUGUGAACUUUGGAAGCAGAUAAGUUAUCUGCUUCCAAAAUACAAUGGUAGGACCAAAGUAGGAUAGACAUUCUCAUUCCAGAAGGGAGAAAAGAGUCACAGGUCCCAAACAAGUCUGGAAUCAAGCAGGGGAUGGCAGCUGUACCCUCUCGGCCCACUGGGGUGGCAGCCCCAAACCUCUCAGUCCAAGGAGGCGCUGUUGGAUAGGGCUCUGCAUCUGUGGCUCUUUCUUCAGGGAAGAAAAAUGGAACUAAAAAGGGAAAACAAUAGCAACAAAGAUCAAAAUAAAUAACAAGGAAGCGGAGAGAAGAAAGAACAUGGUGAAGAGAGUGAAACGCAUUGUCAUUUGGGGUGAAUUGCAGAAAGAAAUAAAUUAUUGUUCUUAUAUAUAA